AAAUCCAAUGUCCUUUUAUUUACAGGGUUUGCAGUUGCAGACAGUAGUAACUGGUGUUCCUUGAAACGAUGAUAGUACUCAUGUCGGUGUUGCCAUUUCCACUCUCCAAUAGACUACCCACACAAACCCACAAUCUGAUUUCGCAUCACCGUUUUCCUUCUUCCUUCACUUUCCACACAUCGUUCCCCAACAAAACCGUAGUCUUUGGUAUCAAUCCCAGCGACUCCAAAGACCCUUCUUUCUUCGACGAAAAUGGCGUCGUCAACGACAUGGAGGGUUACCUCAACCACCUCUCCCUCGAAUACGAUUCUGUUUGGGACACCAAACCCUCUUGGUGUCAACCCUGGACAAUAGCGCUCACGGGGCUUGCAGUUAUUGCCAUUAGUUGGUUGAUUUUGAAUUCUCUCUUAGUCACUUCCUUUGUAUCGUCGCUAAUAUUUGCAUGGUGGUACAUUUUCCUCUAUUCUUAUCCCAAGGUACCUGCCAGAUUUUAGUUAGAGGCUUUCGGCAUGCUUAGGGAAUGAAGCAUCAAUUUUGGUUUAUGUAGUGAUUUGUUCAGGCAUAUUCAGAGAUGAUUGCUGAGCGCAGAGAAAGAGUUACAAAUGGUGUUGAAGACACAUUUGGUCAAGGGAAGAAUCAGUGAUUCGUAUUAUUCUUACCCCAGCUGUAUCCAUCUUUUACGCCUUCUUUUCUUGUUCUGUGUAUCUGCUUGUAUUUGUAUAUUCAAUUACUGAGUAGUCGUUGUGUUACUGCCAAUUGGCUUGGAGAUAACAGAGUGAUGUACAAGUCUUGAAACCUAACACUCUGUAUAAUAAAUAUUUGACCUUGUCUUCUCACACUGGACGCGCAUGCGUAUGGAACUUAUGAUUUGGUUUGGUUGAAUUGAAUUAGAGGAUUGUUCC
Molecule: non-coding RNA, 902 nt
Organism: Vigna umbellata (rice bean)
Lineage: Eukaryota; Viridiplantae; Streptophyta; Magnoliopsida; Fabales; Fabaceae
Source: RefSeq, a predicted model, not a curated record